Molecule: long non-coding RNA, 749 nt
Filed under: Gallus gallus (chicken)
Lineage: Eukaryota; Metazoa; Chordata; Aves; Galliformes; Phasianidae
Source: RNAcentral
CAACAGAAACGCAUCUGUCUUCUGGGCACACCACUCAAACACCACCACCUGAACCCAUAUCCUCCGCACACCCACCUGGCCCCGGGGGCCCCUGGUUCAGCUGCACAGAGCCCCAAAGCAGAUCUCUCCCCUCCCUCCCCGCAGGCAGAAACCAGAGCAGGACACCAGGGCUGGAGCACAAAUGCAACAGAUUUUAUUUCAUCUCAUUUGGCUGCUCGCUGUCGGAGGGCUGGCGAUGGGUUGGCCCCAGCUCUAGCCACCGUGCCGUCUUAACGGUACUUGGCGGUCAGCACAGUGCCCACGGCGCACAAGAACUUGUCCAGGGAAGCAUGGACCUCCGGGGUCAGGGCAGCAGGGUGGUGGAUGGCCACCACCACCAGGAAGCAUUGGCCCAGGAGUUUGAAGUUGACAGGGUCCACGCGGAGCUUGUGGGCAUGGAGGUCGCUGAGCUUGGAGAGGGUGCCGGCGAUGUCAUCAAUGUGGUUGGCAGCCUCGAUCAAGGCAGCCACUACCUUCUUGCCGUGCCCCUUGAUCUGAGCGGAGCCGUGUGACAGAUCGAAGUGGGGGAAGUAGGUCUUGGUUGGGGGGUAGGUGGUGAACAUCCUUUCCAGGGUCUCGGCGCCAUACUCCUCAGCAUGGCCGGCGAUUUUGGUGAAGAUGCCCUUGACGUUGUUCUUGUCAGCAGCGGACAGCACCAUGGUUGCACCUCUGUGUUGGCAGCCCCCAGCACGGGUGCCCCUGAAGUCUGC